This 514-nucleotide ribosomal RNA is filed under the name uncultured bacterium. RNAcentral's name for it is "bacterial SSU rRNA". It matches the Rfam family "Bacterial small subunit ribosomal RNA", at positions 32 to 518 of the family's 1533-position model. The record is from RNAcentral.
AACGCUGGCGGCGUGCCUAAUACAUGCAAGUCGAACGGUCUUUCUAUGGAAGCUUGCUUCCACUGAGAAGAUAGUGGCGAACGGGUGAGUAACACGUGGGUAACCUGCCCAUAAGAGGGGGGAUAACAUCCGGAAACGGGUGCUAAUACCGCAUAGUUUUCUUGGUCGCAUGAUCGGGAAAGGAAAGACGGCCUUUGUGCUGUCGCUUAUGGAUGGACCCGCGGCGUAUUAGUUAGUUGGUGAGGUAACGGCUCACCAAGACGAUGAUACGUAGCCGACCUGAGAGGGUGAUCGGCCACAUUGGGACUGAGACACGGCCCAAACUCCUACGGGAGGCAGCAGUAGGGAAUCUUCCGCAAUGGACGAAAGUCUGACGGAGCAACGCCGCGUGAGUGAAAGAAGGUUUUCGGAUCGUAAAACUCUGUUGUCAGAGAAGAACAAGUUGGAGAGUAACUGCUCCAGCCUUGACGGUAUCUGACCAGAAAGCCACGGCUAACUACGUGCCAGCCGCCGC